GGGGGCGUAUGGCUUUCGACUGAGACAAUGGGGUUCAUAAACCUCAAGCAGGGCUGAGUAACCCUUAAAACUGCUCAAAAACAAUAAACGCAGAAGACUAUUCUUUUGCAAUGGCAGCCUAAGCGCUGUCACCUGUAAGCGAUUCUUGCCUUCAGGGUUGCUUGCGGGUUAGAAAUGAAGGAUAGGUUCUGCAAAGCCGGGGUGCAGGGCUGAAAUUUACCGGCUCUAAAGCAGGAAUGGUUGGUUCCAGAUCCAUCUGCUUCGAAAAACAAAAGUGGAACUAAGCUUGUGAAUAGGGUUUAUGAGGCCUGGUUUCAGGACGUGGGUUCGAUUCCCACCGCCUCCAGAU
This 349-nucleotide transfer-messenger RNA is filed under the name Spirochaetota bacterium. RNAcentral's name for it is "Spirochaetes bacterium (hot springs metagenome) transfer-messenger RNA". It matches the Rfam family "transfer-messenger RNA". Rfam says of the family: Bacterial tmRNA, also known as 10Sa RNA or SsrA, is named for its dual tRNA and mRNA-like properties. The record is from RNAcentral. Lineage: Bacteria; Pseudomonadati; Spirochaetota.